GAUGAAGAAGAAAUAAGAAAUAAAGGUUGAAUAAGAGAAGAAGCCAAGGUGUAACAUUUUAGAUAGACCUAGAGACCACCCUCGCACGGAAGAACAACGACUUGUGUGCCUCAGACAGUCAGUUUUCCUACGGUGGUGUCAAUGGCACCCAGAAGCAGUGCAUGUGUGACGGCUUCAGUGACUACUGCAGUAAUGGAUAGGAUGAGUUUAUGCAGCUGUGUGGAAUUGACGAGUGCCGGGAGAAGAAUGUCUGGUGUGUGUGAGCCCCUUUGCAUCAACACUCGAGAGUCAUACUACUGGCAGUGCCGGCCAUACAGGGUACACACUCGUCUGGAAGUUCAACUGUGAAGACGUUGACGAGUGCGUGGAGUCGUCCAGAUCCUCUCCCUGAGGGAGUGUUCGGUCUGCCCAUCAGCAGCAACAGUCAGGAGAAGACGGUCAUUGAAGUGUCAAAAUCCCCAAGCUGGCAUGGUGAAUUCAGUACUACUAACGCCAAAGAAGUGAGGCAAGUUUUUGGAGUGAGCGUGCACGAC
This 533-nucleotide long non-coding RNA is filed under the name Portunus trituberculatus (swimming crab). RNAcentral describes it as "uncharacterized LOC123505487, transcript variant X3". Lineage: Eukaryota; Metazoa; Arthropoda; Malacostraca; Decapoda; Portunidae. The record is from RNAcentral.